Molecule: transfer RNA, 71 nt
Filed under: Loxodonta africana (African savanna elephant)
Lineage: Eukaryota; Metazoa; Chordata; Mammalia; Proboscidea; Elephantidae
Rfam family: tRNA
About the family: Transfer RNA (tRNA) molecules are approximately 80 nucleotides in length.
Source: Rfam by way of RNAcentral
GCAUUGGUGAUUCAGUGGUAGAAUUCUCACCUUCCAUGAGAAAGACAAGGGUUCGAUUCCUGGCCCAUGCA